AGCGAACGCUGGCGGCAGGCCUAACACAUGCAAGUCGAACGAACCUUUCGGGGUUAGUGGCGGACGGGUGAGUAACACGUGGGAACGUGCCUUUAGGUUCGGAAUAACUCAGGGAAACUUGUGCUAAUACCGAAUGUGCCCUUCGGGGGAAAGAUUUAUCGCCUUUAGAGCGGCCCGCGUCUGAUUAGCUAGUUGGUUGAGGUAAUGGCUCACCAAGGCGACGUUCAGUAGCUGGUCUGAGAGCAUGAUCAGCCACAUUGGGACUGAGACACGGCCCAAACUCCUACGGGAGGCAGCAGUGGGGAAUCUUGCGCAAUGGGCGAAAGCCUGACGCAGCCAUGCCGCGUGAAUGAUGAAGGUCUUAGGAUUGUAAAAUUCUUUCACCGGGGACGAUAAUGACGGUACCCGGAGAAGAAGCCCCGGCUAACUUCGUG
RNAcentral lists this ribosomal RNA (434 nucleotides) under uncultured bacterium. RNAcentral describes it as "partial 16S ribosomal RNA". It matches the Rfam family "Bacterial small subunit ribosomal RNA", at positions 29 to 507 of the family's 1533-position model. The record is from RNAcentral.